This 626-nucleotide ribosomal RNA is filed under the name Ciliophora sp. RNAcentral describes it as "SSU rRNA". It matches the Rfam family "Eukaryotic small subunit ribosomal RNA", at positions 341 to 980 of the family's 1831-position model. Lineage: Eukaryota; Ciliophora. The record is from RNAcentral.
CUACCAUGGCGUUUACGGGUAACGGAGGAUUAGGGUUCGAUUCCGGAGAGGGAGCCUGAGAAACGGCUACCACAUCUAAGGAAGGCAGCAGGCGCGUAAAUUACCCAAUCCUGACUCAGGGAGGUAGUGACAAGAAAUAACGGACCGGUUCCUUCGGAUUCGGGAUUGCAAUGAGCCGAAUUUACACCCCUUAGCGAGGAUCGAUUGGAGGGCAAGUCUGGUGCCAGCAGCCGCGGUAAUUCCAGCUCCAAUAGCGUAUAUUAAAGUUGUUGCAGUUAAAAAGCUCGUAGUUGGAUUUCUGGGAGGGUGCCAAUGUCCGUCGUCGUACGUGUUGCAGCGGCGCCCUUCCAUCCUUCUGUUAACGACUUUGGGCAUUCAUUUGCUGGAGUCGGGCUCAGAUAUUUUACCUUGAGAAAAUUAGAGUGUUUCAGGCAGGCUAAGCCGGAAUACAUUAGCAUGGAAUAAUGGAAUAGGACUACGGUCUCUUUGUUGGUUUGAGGGACUGCAGUAAUGAUUAAUAGGGAUAGUUGGGGGCAUUAGUAUUUAAUUGUCAGAGGUGGAAUUCUCGGAUUUGUUAAAGACUAACUUAUGCGAAAGCAUUUGCCAAGGAUGUUUUCAUUAAUCAA